Molecule: ribosomal RNA, 456 nt
Filed under: uncultured bacterium
Lineage: Bacteria
Description: bacterial SSU rRNA
Rfam family: Bacterial small subunit ribosomal RNA
Source: RNAcentral
CGAACGCUGGCGGCGUGCUUAACACAUGCAAGUCGAGCGGUAAGGCCUUUCGGGGUACACGAGCGGCGAACGGGUGAGUAACACGUGGGUGACCUGCCCCCUACUCUGGGAUAAGCCUGGGAAACUGGGUCUAAUACCGGAUAUGACUUCAUGCUGCAUGGUGUGGGGUGGAAAGUUUUUCGGUGGGGGAUGGGCCCGCGGCCUAUCAGCUUGUUGGUGGGGUGAUGGCCUACCAAGGCGACGACGGGUAGCCGGCCUGAGAGGGCGACCGGCCACACUGGGACUGAGACACGGCCCAGACUCCUACGGGAGGCAGCAGUGGGGAAUAUUGCGCAAUGGGCGGAAGCCUGACGCAGCGACGCCGCGUGGGGGAUGACGGCCUUCGGGUUGUAAACCUCUUUCGGCCCCGACGAAGCGUGAGUGACGGUAGGGGUAGAAGAAGCACCGGCCAACUAC